AGGCCUACGGGACGCAGCAGUGAGGAAUAUUGGUCAAUGGGCGCGAGCCUGAACCAGCCAAGUAGCGUGAAGGAUGACUGCCCUACGGGUUGUAAACUUCUUUUAUAAAGGAAUAAAGUGAGGCACGUGUGCCUUUUUGUAUGUAUUUUAUGAAUAAGGAUCGGCUAACUCCGUGCCAGCAGCCGCGGUAAUACGGAGGAUCCGAGCGCUAUCCGGAUUUAUUGGGUUUAAAGGGAGCGUAGAUGGGUUGUUACGUCAGUUGUGAAAGUUUGCGGCUCAACCGUAAAAUUGCAAUUGAUACUACC
Molecule: ribosomal RNA, 305 nt
Filed under: uncultured bacterium
Lineage: Bacteria
Description: bacterial SSU rRNA
Rfam family: Bacterial small subunit ribosomal RNA
Source: RNAcentral